This 534-nucleotide ribosomal RNA is filed under the name Paracoccus denitrificans. RNAcentral describes it as "bacterial SSU rRNA". It matches the Rfam family "Bacterial small subunit ribosomal RNA", at positions 1 to 574 of the family's 1533-position model. The record is from RNAcentral. Lineage: Bacteria; Pseudomonadati; Pseudomonadota; Alphaproteobacteria; Rhodobacterales; Paracoccaceae.
CCGUCGACGAGCUCAGAGUUUGAUCCUGGCUCAGAACGAACGCUGGCGGCAGGCCUAACACAUGCAAGUCGAGCGGACCUUUCGGGGUCAGCGGCGGACGGGUGAGUAACGCGUGGGAAUAUGCCCUUCUCUACGGAAUAGUCCUGGGAAACUGGGGGUAAUACCGUAUACGCCCUUUGGGGGAAAGAUUUAUCGGGGAAGGAUUAGCCCGCGUUGGAUUAGGUAGUUGGUGGGGUAAUGGCCUACCAAGCCGACGAUCCAUAGCUGGUUUGAGAGGAUGAUCAGCCACACUGGGACUGAGACACGGCCCAGACUCCUACGGGAGGCAGCAGUGGGGAAUCUUAGACAAUGGGGGCAACCCUGAUCUAGCCAUGCCGCGUGAGUGAUGAAGGCCUUAGGGUUGUAAAGCUCUUUCAGCUGGGAAGAUAAUGACGGUACCAGCAGAAGAAGCCCCGGCUAACUCCGUGCCAGCAGCCGCGGUAAUACGGAGGGGGCUAGCGUUGUUCGGAAUUACUGGGCGUAAAGCGCACGUAG